GUCUCAUUCAUGCUACAGUCACACCAGGACAACAACUCCAACAUACAGCAAGUAGGUAUUCAGCCAUGAAAUUGGUUGUGCCAUUGUGUGCUCAUGUUCUCAUUCUCUUCUUUUAUAUCUCUGAAAACCAUUUUUUUUUUUUUUUUUUACUAAAAUACUUAUAUGUUAAAGAGGAGCUAGGCUGCCAAUGCACUCCAACCACUUGCUAAUCCUGUUGUCUGACCUGUGUUCUCUUGUUUUGUAUACUCCUGUCUUAUCAUUUUUUUGCCUUCUACUUAGGGAGCAAAUUUCUGGGCCAGGGAACUUUUUUUUUUGUAGGACACCUAAUUCUUCAUGUCCCUAGUCUAUGAGCAGUUCCUGGCACUGUAUUUAUACAGAUUAUAGAUAAUCUGUCAUAUGACCUUAUAUAAUGCAUUCUAAUAUACUUAAACUGGGGGAGCAUUUUGUAAGUUAUAUGUAGGAGCCUCAUCAUCAAAUCCUAUUUGUUUUUUGGAUUUCUGUUCUAAUUCCCAUGAAUCCCUUUGUAAAUGUCCUUUUCUUCACAGACUAAUGUCAAACAAAUUUUCUGAUUGCUGGGUAUUGUUUCUCCUGGAACAUGUUGGAUACCUCUGAGUCUCAGCAACCUGCGAGGAAGGGAAAUGGUUGGUCAAUGGAAACGCAGCAUUUGGAAAGGUUAGUGUGGUUAGUCAGACCUGGGUUUUGUUCUGCCUGCUUGCUAAAUCAAGCAUGGAGAUUUUUUUUUUCCUGUUUUAUCCUUAUGAAUCAAAUUUGAAAAAGACCAAACCCAGGACCAGCACAAAUCAGUCAGUGCGGUUAUGGCUGUAACAAGAAGGAUAAAUAGUGAUGGAUGCUUUUUUUCUCUGCUUUGUAUUUCAGGUGUGUGUUUGCUACUAAUUAAAACUCAUCGCCUGGGCUCCAGCUGGUGGCAUUACAAAUGGGAGGAGGGCUCCUGCAGCACGGUAGCUAAGGUAAUGUCUGUUUGAAUUUGAAAUGUUCAACCUAUUUCAGAUACCAGAUAAAGUAUUUUAUAGCAUAUGAUCAUUGGGAACACUUGAAAGUGACUUUCCACAUGUCAGAACACUCUUUCAGUGCAUUGAAAGAGACAUUAAAAUGAACGGGAAUGCCCUGGGCACCCCUGCUGACCUGCCUCAGAGCCACGCACAGGAUGGCUGCUGAAGCAAACAGGUACCAGAGUCCUGGCUUUUGUCAAACUAGAAGACAUGCCCCCCGUCCCUGAGUGCUGUUAGUGGAUACUGGUGACUGAAAGAUGCUGGUGAUGAAAGCUUGGCUGUCUCUCUCUGUCCCCAUCAGCUGCAGGAAGGCAAGGUGGUUGCUUCUCAAGUGGGCAGGGCUGGGGCGAUCCCUUCUCAGCCCCUAGUGUGUGGGGGGACAGACGGGUGGGUGAGGUGUGGGACCGCUCUCCUCCCACCUAAUUCUGCAACCUGGCUUUGUGCUGCUCUGGGCAUGUCCCAGUGCUCCUCUGGC
RNAcentral lists this long non-coding RNA (1485 nucleotides) under Anas platyrhynchos platyrhynchos (common mallard). RNAcentral describes it as "lncRNA (ENSAPLG00000022955.1)". Lineage: Eukaryota; Metazoa; Chordata; Aves; Anseriformes; Anatidae. The record is from RNAcentral.